Molecule: long non-coding RNA, 1421 nt
Organism: Humulus lupulus (European hop)
Lineage: Eukaryota; Viridiplantae; Streptophyta; Magnoliopsida; Rosales; Cannabaceae
Exons: 3
Source: RefSeq, a predicted model, not a curated record
AAGGAAAUUAUGGCGCUAAAUGAAAUAGUAAUGGCGCCUUAACUUUGUUUUCAGCUGAAAUUGGUUCUCUACCCUAAGUUACCAUCCCGCCUCUCUCCUAUGCUAGGUGUCUCUCUCGAUCUCUCACUCUCUUUCUCACAUGGCCGAAAAAUGAAGAAGGCUUGGAUGAAUGGAAGGGUACGUACAGAGGCUUCUCUAGGAGACAGGCUUCGAACAGAGAUGAUGCGACAACACCAUUGUUUGACGAUGUGCGACAGGGUGAUGGAACUUGAGGCUUGGGGCGUGCGACAGGGAGGUUUGGUCAUUUAUUCUACAGGGUGGCUCAGUGUGUGGGUGUGAUGGGGCUUGCAGGGGCAGUUCGUGAGACGGGUUCGACUUCGGCAAGGUUGUACUUCAACAAAUGAUUUCUUCUAGGGGAUUUUACUUUGAUUUCCAAAAGGCAUGUGAAGCAUUAAGAAAUUGAAGAUAAGGUCAGUUGAAUUCAAAGUUCUCUUCUUUUUCUGGAAAAUUGUUUUCUUUUUCUGUGAAUGAAUUAUACUGAUUCUUGUUUAUUACUUUUGUUUCAGGUUAUCUGGAUUACUAGUGCCAGUCGUGGAAUUGGUACAUAUAUAUAUUUACAUUUUUGUUUCAAAAUUUCAUUUUCUGUAUGUGUACUGGUUAAUUGAACUAUAUUUUUGUUAUUUCUUAAUUAUUUUCUUCUAGGGUGUUUAAAUUAGUUAAAUACUUUAUGUUAAUGCCACUUCAUUGGACAAGGUUUAUAAAAUUUUGGGCUAUUCUUUUCUUAAAUGAUUAAAACACAUAUUUUAAAUAUUCUUAGUUGGGUUUCUCUUCAAGUUGUAAUUUAAAAAAAACAAAAACAAAAACAAAGACGCAUUGUUGCUUCAAAAUCUUCAUGUGUUCCUUUAUGCUGGUAGUUGUCACCACAAAUGUGUCAAGAUUAUGAUAUACUCAAUCAAAUUGGUUCGUGUUGUUAGAAUCAUUGUAAGCUGACACAUAACGCACAAUUUAACCUUUAUUGGAUUCAUUGUUGUUACUUAGCUUCACUGUGUGCAAAGGUACACUAGCAUGAAGAACUGCCAUAUACUGUGUUGAGCUAGUUUGAGGAUAAUGUAGAUCUUUAGUUUAGAGUUUAGGCAGUCUAAAAUAACUUAGGGGGUUCUUUGUAGAACUUUAGUUUAGAGUUUAGGCAGUCUAAAAGUAAAGUCUUUUAUAAGCAUAUGAACUUUUAGAAAGGAUAACAAUUUUUGUAAAUUGAGAUUACUACUAGGAACUUAGCAUAUUUGUAAAUUGAGGCUCGUUGAUGGUCUUUUUUGAUAUUAUUCCAUUACACAUUGCAUUUUUAUUAUAAAGUUGUCUCUGUAAGAUUAUCUAUUAUACUCAUGCCUAAUUAAUCUUUGAGUGACAUUUGACUUUGUUGCAGA